UCCUCACCAGAGAGACUCUGACCAACAGC
RNAcentral lists this non-coding RNA (29 nucleotides) under Rattus norvegicus (Norway rat). The record is from RNAcentral. Lineage: Eukaryota; Metazoa; Chordata; Mammalia; Rodentia; Muridae.